UGGGGAAUAUUGGACAAUGGGGGAAACCCUGAUCCAGCGAUGCCGCGUGGGUGAAGAAGGCCUGCGGGUUGUAAAGCUCUUUCGGCGGGGACGAAACGGUCCGUGACAACACCACGGACUAAUGACAGUACUCGCAGAAGAAGCACCGGCUAACUACGUGCCAGCAGCCGCGGUAAUACGUAGGGACCAAGCGUUGUUCGGAUUUACUGGGCGUAAAGGGCGCGUAGGCGGCAAUUCAAGUCAUCUGUGAAAUCUCCGGGCUUAACUCGGAACGGUCAGAUGAUACUGCUUUGCUAGAGUGCAGAAGGGGCAAUCGGAAUUCUUGGUGUAGCGGUGAAAUGCGUAGAUAUCAAGAGGAACACCUGAGGUGAAGACGGGUUGCUGGGCUGACACUGACGCUGAGGCGCGAAAGCCAGGGGAGCAAACGGGAUUAGAUACCCCAGUAGUCCCUGAGCGGGCUGGCAAGGCGCAU
This 472-nucleotide ribosomal RNA is filed under the name uncultured bacterium. RNAcentral describes it as "bacterial SSU rRNA". It matches the Rfam family "Bacterial small subunit ribosomal RNA", at positions 355 to 825 of the family's 1533-position model. The record is from RNAcentral.